CACUCGCUGCGCGCCGCCGGAGAUACCCACUCUGAUUUUCGACGUUUCUUCUGAGUGGUACAGCAAAUAAUCCAAACUUUUAACAACGGAUCUCUUGGUUCUGGCAUCCAUGAAGAACGCAGCGAAAUGCGAUAAGUAAUGGGAAUUGCAGAAUUCAGUGAAUCAUCCAAUCUUUGAACGCACAUUGCGCCCGCCAGCAUUCUGGCGGGCAUGCCUGUUCCAGCGUCAUUUCAACCCUCAAGCUCUGCUUGGUGUUGGGGCCCUACAGCUGAUGUAGGCCCUCAAAAGUAGUGGCCGACCCUCCCCGAACCUCCCUUGCGUAAUAACUUUACGUCUCGCACUUGGAUUCGGGAGGACUCUUUGCGUAAAACCCCCCCAUUUUUCAAAGGUUGACCUCGGAUCAGGUAGGAAUACCCGCUGAACUUUAGCAUAUCAUUAAAGCGGGAGA
This 448-nucleotide ribosomal RNA is filed under the name Colletotrichum gloeosporioides. Its description in RNAcentral is "eukaryotic LSU rRNA". The stretch from base 75 to 228 matches the Rfam family "5.8S ribosomal RNA". Lineage: Eukaryota; Fungi; Ascomycota; Sordariomycetes; Glomerellales; Glomerellaceae. The record is from RNAcentral.